Molecule: long non-coding RNA, 1048 nt
Organism: Camelina sativa (false flax)
Lineage: Eukaryota; Viridiplantae; Streptophyta; Magnoliopsida; Brassicales; Brassicaceae
Source: RefSeq, a predicted model, not a curated record
AAAAAAAUCUGAUACCUAAACAGAAUUUCUGGACCAUGGUGUUUUAACUCUGUUGAAGAAUUGGCUUGAACCUCUUCCAGAUGGAAGCUUGCCAAAUAUAAACAUUCGUGCAGCUAUUCUAAGAGUUCUUACUGAUUUUCCAAUUGACUUGGAUCAGUUCGAUAGAAGGGAGCAAUUGAAAAAGAGUGCUAGGUCAUUAUGUUCUUAUCAAAGUCCAAAGAGGAAACUAAUUCCAACAGACGACUUGCUAAGGUUUUGGUUGAUAAAUAUGGUUUCGUCCGAUUUUCAAUAAGAGUACUAGGUUUGAGGACAUGAGAAAUCUCGAUGAAGAUAGGGUUAUCCAAUCACUGGAAGGAGAUGGUCUAAUAUAGUACUCGACAAUCGAUGAGUAUCAUUUCAAGCACGUCGAGCUCUGAUCUUAUCUAAAAGUCAUUUAGAGUUUGGUUACUCCGUAGAUAAAGAGUCAUUAGUAUUAUCUGGUGGUUUGAGAGAUGUUUUCAAUAUCUAGAACCUAGGAUCACUUUUAUAUAGCUCACUUCUGUUGUUUCAUAGGACAUGUGGUCACCAAUUCUCGCUUAGGGGUAUUAAUUUAACUCCCCUUCUGAUUACAAACUUGAUUGCUUUUUAGGUAGUGGAUUUGUGGGUUUAGAUAGUGCUUUCCAGUUAUGAUUACUUUUUUAACAGUGAUUUAUGCAUAUGUUGUAUGAGUUGUGAUGAUAAAGCUAAGUCGAAUGUAGCUGUACUCAUGUAUGUGCUUCUGCAAACUUCAUAUUCAAAGGUCUGGUCCGACCAUCCAACAAUGGUUGCAGAGCCUUCACGAGAAUACUCAUGUUUGGUCUGAAAUCAGUUUCGUAUUGUACACACAAAGCAGCAACUGCAGGUAACUGCAUUAUCAACAAAAAAUGAUCAAACACGAAACUGUUGGAUCAAGCAAGACUGGUUCUAUGUCCUAACCAUUAAUUCCAGCUAAUAUAGGCACUGCCUAUUCAAUUUAUCUUGUCUCAUAGUGAUACUUUAAGUUAGAAAAUCUCAAUUGUGUGCUCCAGGU